Molecule: RNA transcript, 8388 nt
Organism: Hippocampus comes (tiger tail seahorse)
Lineage: Eukaryota; Metazoa; Chordata; Actinopteri; Syngnathiformes; Syngnathidae
Gene: tbc1d32
Gene name: TBC1 domain family, member 32
Exons: 35
Source: RefSeq, a predicted model, not a curated record
CGGGGAUCAUCCUGGGCAGGAAAUGCACCCUGACCAGCACGCAGCAGUCCCUGAGCAGGAUGACAGCCCUGCUGGCCGUGUACAGAGCGCCCACCACGGCGAGCGUUUCCAGAGAUGUCUUCCGAAGAUGAGGAGCAGCUGGCAUCUCUGCUCAAGCAGUUUUUGAGAAGCAUCGACGAGCGACUUUCUGGCGCCCCAACGCCCCAAAGUGCAGAGGAAGUCCUUCUUCACCUGGAGGAGACCGACAAGAACUUCCACAACUAUGAGUUUGUCCAGCACCUGCGCCAGCGUGUGGAGACCUCCCUAGGGUGCGUGGUGGACAAGGAGCUCGGGAAGUUGUCCCGUGAAGAUGGACAACACACCGUUGACUCAUGUCACGACGCCCUCAUUCACACAGCGACCGGCCGCAGCCAAGCAUCGGCGCAGUACCAGGAGAUGACACAGACCUUGAGAGCCACCGUGACUGCCGCUGCGGAGCGUUUACUCAGCAGCUUUGACGACGACCAGCUACGGAAGGAGGAGGAGAUGCAGCACGGCCGCUACGCUGACGACUGCUCAGACAGUGGAGACUCCUUCAAUCAGUGCUACACCUUCAUUCGACAGGAGCAGCUGCAGGCUUUGGCUGAGAAACUAGAUCCAAGUCAACCCAAAGAGGUGCGCCGGGAGGCCCUGCAGGCGCUCCGUCACGCGCCGGCUUCUGACGUGCUCAGCUGCGAGGGCUGGGCCCGCCUACGCCAGAACCUGUGCGCCACGCUGACCGAGCCCGACGCCGAGCUCAGUGACCACGUUCUUCGGUUCUUCGCGAAGAGCUUCUCUUCGUUGCCGCUGAACGUCACCCGGGAGAUUUACAGCAGCCUCGCUCGAAGUGUGCAGUCCAAUUUUUUGUCCCUGAAGUUGAGCUUUCCGAGCGGCGCGGCCGUCUUGGACAUCAACAGACCCGAGAUCAGCUCUCUCCUCAAACAGAUGCGCCUGAUGAACGACUUUCAAAAGGAGGCGACCACCUUCUGGAUCCGCCACCCGGAAAAGUACAUGGAAGAAAUCAUCGAGAGCACCUUCUCCCUCCUGUCUGUCCAUGGGGAUUCCUCACCGGAGAAAGUCUUGGGGCCCACUGACCUGCUGGCCCUGCUGGAUGUUCAAGCCGCCUGGUUCACAAAAUGGAUGCAUGGCUCCUACAGCAGGACGUUGGUUCUCAGGCUCCUCCAGAGCAAAUACAAAAAUCUGAUGGAGGCCGCUGUGCAGCAGUGCAUCCUUUAUCUGGAAUGCUGCCAGCAUUGCACUCAGAUCCAUUCUGAGGAGCCGCACAGCUCAGGCUCGCCAAUUGGCAGCGUCUACAGUGGAAAGGAGCUGCAGUAUGCCGUGGUCGUCCAUUCCUUGUGCGUGUUGGGCAAAGUCCUCCUCUACGCCAAUGGCCGGAAGCUCUUUCCCAUCAAAGCGGCGGCGCGGAAAGAUCCAGUCACUUUGACGGACCUGGUGGUGAUUCUCAUCAACAUCAUGUACCAACAUCAUCAGCCUUUGUGCAGCGAUAGCUCACACGCAGAAGCGCUGUGCCCAAGCAGCCUGGUGAUAGCGACGCUGAGCGCCAUGUGUGAGAGGACCGAGUGCGCUGACCAGUGUCUCCACCAAGCGCCUGUCGUUCAGACUCUCAUGGUGCCCGUCAUCCAGGCCCUCAAUGGAGGCCAGACCAAACUGAAGUGCCCGGCAGCCACCCUGCCUCUAAUCGCGGACGUCCUGGCUCGAAUGGUCAACACAGACAGAGGGUUAGCUCUCUUCUUGUAUGACAGGAACUUGCUUAUGGGCCCCAACGAAAGAAGCACCGCCGCUCACGUGCUGCUCCGCUUCACGCUUUCGCUGCUCGAACGGGAGUUCUCGGCGUCGAGCGAGGGCGAAAUCCUCUCGCUCCGUGCUGUGUGCGGGGCCUUCAUCUCUGUGUGCGGACAGAUGUACAAGACCUGCGAGGGCCUGCGGGUCCUGGAAGCGUACAGCCUGCACAAAGCUGCCGUCGCCGCCUGGAGGAAGACCAGUUCCUUGUCUGAAAGGAUUUCGACCCCAGUACCUGAAAACAAUCUUGCAACGUCUACGCAGAAAUUGCGACAUCUGCAAAUGUGGGAAGAGACAUUGCUGGACAGCCUGCUGAACUUUGCGGCCACACCCAAGGGCGUGCUGCUGCUUCAUCAGACCGGCGCCAUGCAGGAGUGCGUCUCACACAUGUUCUCUCGCUUUAACAAAAAAUUGCAGGUGAGUCGUCGAGAGAAGUUUGGCUAUGGUGUCAUGGUAACGCAGGUGGCAGCCACGGGGGCAGGCGCGAUGGCUUUGCAGCGCUCAGGAUAUGUGGGGGCCCUGGUUCUGGAGCUGUGGUCGGCGCUGGAGUGCGGCAAUGAGGAUGUCAGGGUGGUCCGACCUGAACCCACGUCAAUGGAACCCAUCGACAGGAGCUGCCUCAAGUCCUUCCUGUCUCUGGUCAACUUGCUGUCGUCCUCUCAGUCCGUGUGGCAGCUGCUGUUUGGACAACCUUUGGCCAACAAGAGUGAAUACACGCUGAGGGAAGUGCCAAGCUCUGUGCCUGACUUGAUUGACAGGCUGAUUGCCGUGAAUUCCACCGCCAAGAUCCGUUCGCUCUUCCACUACGAGCAGUCGCACACGUUUGGCCUGAGACUGCUCAACGUGCUGUGCUCCAGCCUGGACUCCUUCCUGCUACUCGAGAGCCAGUACAAUAUCUGCGCCGUGCUGCUGCAAAGCCAGAGGGACAACGCGGCUGACCGGAACGGCGGGGAUGGGAGCUUCAUUUUAGACAACGCGUCACUGGAGAGGAACCACACGCUGGUUCGCGUCGCCGUUGUUGGAGGACCAUCCGAGAGGAGACUCCCCCCUCGGGCCUUGCAGGAGGGAGACGAUCCCUAUCCCUGGCCCAUGUUUUGGUCAUUCCCUCCACCCACCUGCUACAGUUUGGACCCACCAAAAACCCAACAGAACCCGCUGGAACCCGAGCUGCGUGACUUCCUGACGUCGCCUCGAAACGCGACGACAGAAGACAGCUGGAUGGAGACGUGCCGCCGACUUUACCGCAAAGUUAUGACAGCCGGGCACCACGGCUUGACCGCCACAGUGCUGGCUGACCUUCUGGAGAAGGUUGUGUACCAUCUGUCCAAAUGUUCCGUGGAGCGCUUCUUCUCCCCGCCUGAGCACAACAAAGCACAGGAGGCGAGUGCGGAUGCUGUGGCGCUGUCACCUGUGGAAAUGCUCGGCAUGGACGUCUGCCUGAGAUACGGCGUCGCUCUCAAGCUGCUCCGCCAAGAAGACGCCGCGAGCCACCUGACGCUCCUUAUGAAGCACGUCAAGAAUUUCCUGUCCCGGCGGAGGCUUCCAAUGUCCUCGCCGCUGCUCGCGGGCCAGGAAGAUUAUCCCGGCCACGAUUGGUUGACGUCGACGGUCUUCCUGAUGAUGUCUGGGGACUGGCGGCGAUCUCUGAGGCUGCUGCGCCAUCUUUCCUCUGUGCUCACUUCCGCUUUCAUUUGGCCAGCCAACGUACACGCGUCGGUGGACCUUGCUGUCCGAGUGGCUGAGUCAGGAAUGUCCCCGCUGUACUGGAGCUCGGCUCACUACGUGGAGAUGCUGCUGAAGGACGAACUUCCACAAGCGCACGCCGCCUUCCGGAUGUCCGGUUUCACCCCAUCGCAGAUAUGCAUCCACUGGCUGACUCAGUGCUUCUGGAACUUCCUGGACUGGCCUGAGAUCUGCCACUAUGUGUGCAUAUGCGCACUGAUGGGAGCCGACUACCAGGUGUACGCCUGCCUGGCCGUCCUCAAGCACCUGCAGCCACUUCUGCUGCAGCAAACGCAAGCCCGCCGGUUGCAGGUUUUCCUCAAGGAGGAACCCAUCCAGGGCUUCCGGUUCUGCGACUACCUGGACUUCAUGCAGCUUCUAGAAAGACGCUACCGGAACCUCGUGCUCAGCGACAUGAAAAGCAUCUGCAACCGAGACCUGUAAAUGCAGAGAGUGGAAUGCUAAUGUAAGUAGCAUUUAGCUCAGCACGUCUGCUGCAUACGAGAGAACGUGCCUUCCCUUGUGGACAUGUGAUGACACCCCGUGAAGUUGAGGCUUCAGUUUGUGAGGGAAAAGAUGCUUCUGGCCCCCCUGCAGUCUUUUGAUUUUGAGCUACUACUGUACCAGGAAAAACAACAUGGUUACAAACCAACAGUAUCGAUUUGUAAAAGAAAAUAUCAAUGGACAUAUUUGGAUCAUCUGCCCGACAGUGAGGAUAUGCGGCCUCGUUGAUCAUAUAAAAUUUCUGUCUACCAUUUCUAGGUCCAUAAAGCUCCCAAGUUUCCAAGCAUUCUUCAACCUUUGACGGAACGAUAUCGUUACGCGGAACCGUGAAGCCGCUCAUGAUGAAAGAUGCAUGAGGACGCUUGCAUCACGGCGGUAAAGCCUCAUCAGUAACCACGCCGUCCCCUCAGCCAUCUGAUGUGUCUCAUGCGCGGCACUGCCAGGCGGGAAUCCCAAAUGAGCUGGCCGCGUCGCAGCGCGUCUUCAUCCGGGUCUCAAUUUAAUGCCAAGUGGUGCGUGAGGAUUGGUCGCAGGGGCGCUGCAAGGAAAUUAAAGCGGCGUCAAUAUUUCCAGCCCAAUGGGCAGGAUGAAGAUGUCACUCAUGAUCAUGUUUUGCUCAACAUAACGUCGAUGAGCCAGUAUUGAUCUGUUAUUGUCUACAUGCUGAAAAACAAUCAUUUGGGAAAGGUGCUAGUUAUCUUGUCAUGUGUAAAUGCUUUCAUUACUAGAGGACCAAAAGUGAGAUGAAAUCACAUUUGAGAAGCAUUCCCUCGACCGUUGUAGCGAUAUGUGCUGAGGUGCUAACAACUAUUUUAGUGAGAUUGGGAUACAUGCUUACUAUAACACUGUUUGCAUGUUGAAACUCUGCAGCAGCAGGGGCCCCAAAAUUGAACCCUGUGGAACACCGUACGACAGAAGAAAAAUAGAAGUCUAUGACAUUUUUCUGAAAUUACAUUGUAAAAUUAUACUUUUACAGACACUAAUAAUAAUCAAAUGGAAUGUAAAGAAAUAAGUGCAUCAUGAUGAAUUCAUCGCGGCUCCUUCUGGCGGGCGCGACGUAAAUCCGUCAUGGUGACAAAUGAAUAUCUCAACUGCUGUAAUAAAUGCCUGUUUUUGUAUGGUAAAUUUUUGCUCUCAAGUCAAACCAGAAAAUCCCCCAAAUGACGGUUUUUAUCUUUCUCUAUCUCUAGGCGCGAAUUUAUUACCGUUUUCUUGGAAGAGGCUCACAAAAAGUAAGGCCACAGCAUGGUGCUGGUGCUAAUGCUGCUAUCAUGUGUGGACCUUGUUGUGCAGCAUAAAUAAACAAGUUUUCAUUCAGUCAUAUAUUUUUUUUGUUGCUUUAUUGACUGAAAUGUGAACAAUUUGCUUCUUGAAUAUCACCAGGCUGACAAAAUGCUGCGGGAGCCCGUUUUCCAAAACAACCAAAUGUAAAUCAGUAUGCAAAUGUCAGACCUGCGUAUAAAAAAGAAACACCACCACAAUCAUUUUGCAAGCGCGUUGUCAAGCUGACUGGAACGUGCGGCUGCUAAUGGCUUGACAAGCGAGCACAAAAAGAAUCAAACAUACUUUUUAUUCUUUGCUUUCUUUUUUUUUUUUGCCAGCCGCUGUGAAAAAGAUGCACGCAGUGUUUUAUAUUAACGCUAAUGUAUGCAAGCUGGGAGCCUCUCCAAGAAAAACAAAACACUUUUUUUUUUUUUUGCAUGGAAAUGACAAAACCUGCCAGCAGUGACAAAAAGUCUUUCACAGAAGAAGUCCGAACAAUACCGAGGCAAAAAAAAGAAGACUGUAAUCAUCAGUUUGUCGGAGAAUGAAAUGCCAUUUCAAAUAAUCCCUUUUAAUCACUGCUGUUAAUGACUACAGUCAUUAUCAGACCUUCAAAAAAGGAAAGGACCUGCAAGUUCAAACAAUAAUACCACAAAAAUAAUUAUUUUUAAAUUACUCGUUGAACAUCUUCAUGAGAGAAACAGCGAGAGAAUUUAAUGAAACAAUUUUAUGGGCGAAAGUUAACAAUUUUACUCUGGUAAUGUUGCAUCUUUUUCCACCCCCAUCCCAUAAAAGUCUUUGUUCUUACGUGAUGAAUUUGUUUUUCUAACUUGACAAUUUUUCGUGGUCAACAAUUGUAUGUUUCUACAGUUCCACAACUCUGUUUACGUUUCAGCUCUGCACAAUUACGGUUUGUACAAUUGUGUGUUUAUGGUCAAGAAGCGCAUGUGGUUGGUCAUCAUGCACAUCUGUGGUCAAAAAUUGUGGCCAACAAUUGUGUGUUUAUGGUCAGCAAUUGUAUGUUCACAGUCAAAAAAUUUGGGUUGGACUUUUAGACUCUGGUCAACUUCUGUUGCCAACUGUGCGUUUAUCAUACUUGCAAGCCCCUCUAUACCGCAUUCCAGUCGGCAUUUUGUCAUUUGCUGCAUAUGGCAAACGGGAUCUCAUCCCGGGACUGUGACCCACAUUCUCGUGGCGUCUCUCAACAUCUUAUCCAGUGUCAAUGUCAAAACGCUUCCCGAGGUUUCCUCCGGCUGGCCUGGUGACGUUUCCAGCAGGCUGUGGACGGCGAGCGUGCGACAUCCGACUUUUUGGUCUUUCUUUUUUUUUUUUUUUCUUCCAUCCCAUCCCAACAAUUCACUGACGUUGCACCAGCUGACGCAGUGCUGGGGGACGGAUAACCUUUGUGAGACGAGGAGCUCUUUUAUGAGCGCAGACAGUCUUGUGUGUGUCACUGACUUCGCUGUCAGUGUGCUUGAGUGCUUCUGAAACGGAGUAAAAAGCUCACUCCAUUGCACCAUGUUAAGGGACUCGAUAUUUGGCUAUGGAAAGCUAUUUGAGCAUUUCUUCCAUGUCGCUGAUAUCUAGCUAAAUGUCCCGGAAGUCAAUUCAGGAAGUCAAGUCAGCGCACAAGCGCACUACUAAAAUGCGAGUGAAGUAUUAUAUUAGUACUAAAAUUUACAAUGACUGAAAUUUUGUUGUUGUUUUUCUUUACACAGUGCCACAGCAUUUUGAGCAUUAGCAUCACAAGUCCACACCGACCAUAUUAUUCAGCAUUAGCAUUUCAAAGAACUUAAACAGCAUUUUUUAGCAUUAGCAUCUUAAGUCCAGAGACGAUUUUUUUAUGACCUCAGUCAGCCUUUUUCUUUAUAUAUAUAUAUAUAUAUAUAUAUAUAUAUAUUCAGAAGUUCACAGAGCGCAUUUAGUAUUAGCAUUCCAACUGCUAUGCAUUUAGCAUUAGCAUUCAGAAGUUGUGUUUAGUAUUAGCAUUCCCACUGCGCAAGCAACAUUUUUCUGCAUUAGAAUCGACACGCAUACAUAUUUAUACUUACAUAAGUUAACAUAAAAUAGCUUGUCAUAAACACAUAAUUGUUGGCUAUAGGCAUGUAAUGGUUGACCACAUUUGCUGACCAGGAACAUGUAAGUGUUGAGCAUUAACAUACAAUUGAUGCACAUAAACCGACAAUUGUUGGCCAAUAAACGUACAAUUGUAUUUUCACGGGCCCUGAGUUUUAUGUUUAUGGCUCUGAAUUUUAUGUUGAUAACCAACAAUUGUAAGUUUAUCCUCAGUUGUCAGCUGAUGGUCAUUAGUUGCGGGUGGCAAAAAAUAAAUGUCGUUAUUUGAUGACAAUUUGGCACGGCUUUUUUUUUUUUAUUUUGGCACCAGUGCUGACAUGGAGCAACUUGUUCAUACUGACAUAAUGUGCUGGUUAUUUUAAUGAGUAAUUAGUGUCCAGAAGCUCAUUAGCGGUUGCGGGUGGGCCGACUUGACCUUGGUAAAGCUUGCACUUUAGCGAUGAUAGCACUUAAUGGCGGAUGUUUUUUUAAAAUUGUUUUAUUUUUUUUAUAUUUAGUGUUGUGCUGUUGUUGUUGUUAAUGACGAUCCUUUUCAAGGCAACUACGACCGGGUAAUUAUUGCUAAUUAGAACAAUGAGGAGACCGCGAGGUGUCGUAGCCGCGCUUAUCUUUUAAGCCUCUUUUGUAUCCCGCGCACGGAAAUUUACAAAACCGAACGGCUACUCGCGGCAAUGGGAAGAUCAUGUGAAGAAGAAAGUGGCUCAUCGCACAAGGUUCUCUUUUGUACUCUUCUGUUCACAACUAUGAUCAGCGGUUGUAAAGUUGUUUCAAAUGUUUCAGUCAAUGAUUGUGCAUUUAUGGCCCUUGUUUGUCCGGCCAUCAAUUUAACGUUUAUGUUCAUCACUUGUACGUUUACGGCAAACAUUCUCAUGUGUAUAUUCAACAAUGGUAUGUUUACAGUCAACAAUUGUAUGUUUAUGCUCAGCAAUUGUACACUGUAUACCAGUUUCUGCUCUGUACAAUUAUUCCUGUUCCUUCCAAGGAAUAAAUGACAAACACAAAAAU